AUAACAGGACGUCCUUAAAGUUAGCCAUGAAAUACCACACGGUAAUCACAGGCUUUUGUUUGACAUUUAUGAUCACAAGACUUUCAGGUGCUUCACCCAUUGACGAAGUCCAUCAGACUCCAACUGACUUGUACAAAAAACUGGAGCAAACAGCAGAAAUCGAUUGCUCGCACAAUAUCAACAACUACGAUCGGAUCCUGUGGUACAAACGGACGGCGGGCAGGCAGAUGGAGUUUCUAGGAUACAUGCUAGCAAACAUCGGCUAUCCGGAGGAGGGAGCGAAGGUAAAGAUCGACGGGAACGCCAACAAGGGCCAGACCUGCACGCUGACGAUGGACAGGCUCAACGUGAACAGCAGCGCAGUUUACUUCUGCGCUGCCAGUUACCACAGUGCUACAUGCAAAAAGUCCUCAGGGCAAAAACCUCGAGCUUUUGCUUCCCCAUCUCUCAGGUCCAUGCACCUGUGGUCUCUAACCGGUUUAUCAAGGUUUGGAUCUUUCUGUUGA
Molecule: non-coding RNA, 506 nt
Organism: Xiphophorus maculatus (southern platyfish)
Lineage: Eukaryota; Metazoa; Chordata; Actinopteri; Cyprinodontiformes; Poeciliidae
Source: the annotation of a RefSeq genome assembly